This 69-nucleotide small RNA is filed under the name Bizionia paragorgiae. RNAcentral describes it as "Flavo-1 RNA". It matches the Rfam family "Flavo-1 RNA". Lineage: Bacteria; Pseudomonadati; Bacteroidota; Flavobacteriia; Flavobacteriales; Flavobacteriaceae. The record is from Rfam by way of RNAcentral.
GUCUAGCCCUGAUUGAUGCGACAUCCUUUUUUAUUUUCAAAAAAGAUAUAGCGGAAAGCAGGAUCUAGC